UCAUUGGUGGUUCAGUGGUAGAAUUCUUGCCUUCCAUGUGAGAUACCUGGGCUUAAUUCCCAGCCAGUGCA
RNAcentral lists this transfer RNA (71 nucleotides) under Loxodonta africana (African savanna elephant). It matches the Rfam family "tRNA". From Rfam's summary of the family: Transfer RNA (tRNA) molecules are approximately 80 nucleotides in length. Their secondary structure includes four short double-helical elements and three loops (D, anti-codon, and T loops). Further hydrogen bonds mediate the characteristic L-shaped molecular structure. tRNAs have two regions of fundamental functional importance: the anti-codon, which is responsible for specific mRNA codon recognition, and the 3' end, to which the tRNAs corresponding amino acid is attached (by aminoacyl-tRNA synthetases). tRNAs cope with the degeneracy of the genetic code in two manners: having more than one tRNA (with a specific anti-codon) for a particular amino acid; and 'wobble' base-pairing, i.e. permitting non-standard base-pairing at the 3rd anti-codon position. The record is from Rfam by way of RNAcentral. Lineage: Eukaryota; Metazoa; Chordata; Mammalia; Proboscidea; Elephantidae.